Molecule: ribosomal RNA, 1020 nt
Filed under: Clostridioides difficile
Lineage: Bacteria; Bacillati; Bacillota; Clostridia; Peptostreptococcales; Peptostreptococcaceae
Description: bacterial LSU rRNA
Rfam family: Bacterial large subunit ribosomal RNA
Source: RNAcentral
AGUAUCAUUAAGUGAAUACAUAGCUUAAUGAGGGGAACUCAGGGAACUGAAACAUCUAAGUACCUGAAGGAAGAGAAAGAAAUUCGAUUCCGUAAGUAGCGGCGAGCGAACGCGGAUUAGCCCAAACCAAUAAAGUUUUCUUUAUUGGGGUUGCGGACAUAUCAUAACGAAGAGGUAUCGUAAUUGAAGAGGUUUGGAAAGACCCACCACAGAAGGUAAUAGUCCUGUAUGUUAAACGAGAAGACUUUAGAUAUGAUCCAGAGUACCACGGGACACGUGAAACCCUGUGGGAAGCAGGAGGGACCACCCUCCAAGGCUAAAUACUACCUAGUGACCGAUAGCGUAUAGUACCGUGAGGGAAAGGUGAAAAGAACCCCGGGAGGGGAGUGAAAUAGAACCUGAAACCCUGCACUUACAAGCUGUGGAAGCACAUUUCUUGUGUGACCGCGUACUUUUUGUAGAACGGGCCAACGAGUUACGUUAAGUAGCAAGGUUAAGCACUUAAGGUGUGGAGCCGUAGCGAAAGCGAGUUUUAACUGAGCGUUCAGUUACUUGACGUAGACCCGAAACCGGGCGACCUACCCAUGAGCAGGAUGAAGCGAAAGUAAAAUUUCGGGGAGGUCCGAACCCACGAGCGUUGAAAAGCUCGGGGAUGACUUGGGGGUAGCGGUGAAAUUCCAAUCGAGCCCGGAGAUAGCUGGUUCUCCCCGAAAUAGCUUUAGGGCUAGCCUCAAGGUGAGAGAUACGGAGGUAGAGCACUGAAUGUCCUAGGGGGUAUUGCACCUACCGAAGACUAUCAAACUCCGAAUGCCGUCAUCUUAUACUUGGGAGUCAGACUGUGGGUGAUAAGAUUCAUAGUCGAAAGGGCAACAGCCCAGAUCGUCAGCUAAGUUCCAUAAAUGUAAGUUAAGUGGUAAAGGAUGUGGGAUGGCAAAGACAAAGAGGAGGUUGACUUGGAAGCAGACACUCAUUAAAAGAGAGGGUAAUAGCUCACUGGUCGAGUGAUCCUGCGCCGAAGAU